GGUAGGAUACCCAAGCGGUCAACGGGGGCAGACUGUAAAUCUGCUGGCUGCGGCCUUCGAAGGUUCGAAUCCUUCUCCUACCACCA
This 86-nucleotide transfer RNA is filed under the name Verrucomicrobiota bacterium. RNAcentral describes it as "Verrucomicrobia bacterium (wastewater metagenome) tRNA-Tyr". It matches the Rfam family "tRNA". From Rfam's summary of the family: Transfer RNA (tRNA) molecules are approximately 80 nucleotides in length. RNAcentral also lists the same sequence under 1 other name. Lineage: Bacteria; Pseudomonadati; Verrucomicrobiota. The record is from RNAcentral.